UACAUGCAAAGAUGAGUCACAUUAUCAUCAUACAGUUAUCCCUGUCUGAAAAGGGAUCACACCUUCCUGUUGAGAAUUUAAAUCCGAGCAUAUG
This 94-nucleotide small nucleolar RNA is filed under the name Xylona heveae TC161. Its description in RNAcentral is "Small nucleolar RNA R38". It matches the Rfam family "Small nucleolar RNA R38". Rfam says of the family: snoR38 is a C/D box small nucleolar RNA conserved across yeast, human, Arabidopsis and rice. It is encoded in the intron of elongation factor-1 gamma in both pombe and cerevisiae. snoR38 guides the methylation of 2'-O-ribose sites in 28S rRNA. Lineage: Eukaryota; Fungi; Ascomycota; Xylonomycetes; Xylonales; Xylonaceae. The record is from Rfam by way of RNAcentral.